CAUGGCUCAGGACGAACGCUGGCGGCGUGCCUCCUCCCUUCCCUUAUAACGCUGAAGGGAGAGCUUGCUCUUCUGGAUGAGUUGCGAACGGGUGAGUAACGCGUAGGUAACCUGCCUGGUAGCGGGGGAUAACUAUUGGAAACGAUAGCUAAUACCGCAUAAUAGUAGAUGUUGCAUGACAUUUGCUUGAAAGGUGCAAUUGCAUCACUACCAGAUGGACCUGCGUUGUAUUAGCUAGUUGGUGGGGUAACGGCUCACCAAGGCGACGAUACAUAGCCGACCUGAGAGGGUGAUCGGCCACACUGGGACUGAGACACGGCCCAGACUCCUACGG
This 334-nucleotide ribosomal RNA is filed under the name uncultured bacterium. RNAcentral describes it as "bacterial SSU rRNA". It matches the Rfam family "Bacterial small subunit ribosomal RNA", at positions 18 to 344 of the family's 1533-position model. The record is from RNAcentral.